This 804-nucleotide unclassified non-coding RNA is filed under the name Hevea brasiliensis (rubber tree). The record is from RNAcentral. Lineage: Eukaryota; Viridiplantae; Streptophyta; Magnoliopsida; Malpighiales; Euphorbiaceae.
GGAUAAUAUUAUCAGGUUUGCCAAAGGCUGGUAGGAUAAAGAUACCACCUCAUCAAGUAAAGGAAAAGAUGCAUACAAUAUAUUAUUUUAGCAUAAUACACAGAUAUCUAUUAUAAAAUACCGAAAAUUGGAGGAAGACAAAAAUAGACAAAUAUUAGGAGCCCACUGUUCAACUAGACUUUCGUAAUCCUAACUCAGUUGUGACGUAUCUUAGCAAUUGUUUCACCAACUCUCUAACUCUAGCUUCCCUUGAUAUAACAAGUUCACACAAGGAUGGGAAAAGAACAAGUAAAUGUGAACGCCUUUCUUGAUUCUCUUUUCUGAGGCAUUCUUUUAAGUAAGGAUGUAAAGGAAGUUCAGAAACAGUGUCUGAAUGAACCACAAGAAGGGCAAGCUCUUGGAGGGUAAAGAUAACUUCUUCCACACGUGCUGCUGGCAAUGGGUUUUCUCCUAAUUUGCUCUCAUCCAUCAAGUACCUUUCCAGAAUAAAUUCACAUCUGUUUAUUAAUAUCUUUAAUGAUAUGUUGCUUACUUCACAUCUAGUUGAAUUCCAUUCACCGGUUCCUCGACUGCACAGAAGAAACAGCUUUUGCAAACAGGUCAAGGAGAACCUGCUACAAUGUGAAGGCAUCAGUUCGACAGUCUCAAGGGGCAAGGAACAUGUUCGUGAUGCACACCGAUCCAGAGUGCUGAUUAGACGAUCCACAAUUUCUAAUAGGCUACUGUGGUCGUGCACUUUCAGUGAUGGUGGACAGUGCUGAUGAAUGUCUCGAGAUGAAUCUCCUGGAUAUUCUAGGAGACAAG